RNAcentral lists this ribosomal RNA (429 nucleotides) under Chloroflexota bacterium. RNAcentral's name for it is "Chloroflexi bacterium partial 16S ribosomal RNA". It matches the Rfam family "Bacterial small subunit ribosomal RNA", at positions 355 to 776 of the family's 1533-position model. The record is from RNAcentral. Lineage: Bacteria; Bacillati; Chloroflexota.
UAGGGAAUCUUCGGCAAUGGACGAAAGUCUGACCGAGCAACGCCGCGUGAGUGAAGAAGGUUUUCGGAUCGUAAAACUCUGUUGUUAGAGAAGAACAAGGACGUUAGUAACUGAACGUCCCCUGACGGUAUCUAACCAGAAAGCCACGGCUAACUACGUGCCAGCAGCCGCGGUAAUACGUAGGUGGCAAGCGUUGUCCGGAUUUAUUGGGCGUAAAGCGAGCGCAGGCGGUUUCUUAAGUCAGAUGUGAAAUCCCCGGGCUCAACCUGGGAACUGCAUCUGAUACUGGCAAGCUUGAGUCUCGUAGAGGGGGGUAGAAUUCCAGGUGUAGCGGUGAAAUGCGUAGAGAUCUGGAGGAAUACCGGUGGCGAAGGCGGCCCCCUGGACGAAGACUGACGCUCAGGUGCGAAAGCGUGGGGAGCAAACAGG